GCAAGUUAUCUAACCAGUCUUUGUGGACUAGCACAUGGUGUGUUUUGGAAAAAGUAUCACGUGCUGCUGAAAAGAAAGUAUAUCCUGUUGUAGAAGUAUAUCCUGUUGAGCUUCACUGUCUUCAUCUGAAGAAGAGAAUUAUGUUAACCACCUCACAGACGGCGAAGAGGAAUGAAUAAAGUCAUAUAUGUUGGAGCAAAUCUACGGUACUGAUUGUAUUUGUGGUGUAUGUGAUAAUCCUAGUAACUAUCAUCUGUUGAACAUCUUUAUGGGGGAGACCCUUUCAAGUCUUCCUACAACCUCUUUUGAGCUAUGACCACAGGUGUGUAUCACUGUGCCUGGCAGAGGUAGGCGUUAUCAUUAAGCCAAUUUCUACAGAAGAGGACAUUUGAGGCCUAACGAAGUUAAGUAACCUGCCCAAAGGAAUCCGCUAUGAAGCUGUGGACUCAGGCUCUGCAGCCCAGUCUGACUUCCAAGUGGCGCUUUAACCCUUCCUGUGAGCUGCUCUCCAGGAGACUGGGCCGUGCAACUGUGAGGGCUGAGCCUGAGCUUGAAAACCUCCCCGAGUCCUGGGGUUGUGGAGCUUAGGAGGAGGAGCCACAAGUUGCACCUAGCACAGAGCUGGUUCUUAGGAAGCAGGGGCUACAAUUACAUUAGAAGAAAAUGUCCCAUAACUCACUUGUGUCCAUGUGGCUUGGGUGAUCCUCUACCUACCCUGAAGGCCUGCAAGCCCCAC
Chinchilla lanigera (long-tailed chinchilla) is the source of this 736-nucleotide long non-coding RNA. RefSeq lists it as uncharacterized. Lineage: Eukaryota; Metazoa; Chordata; Mammalia; Rodentia; Chinchillidae. The record is from RefSeq and is a predicted model, not a curated record. The transcript is spliced from 3 exons.